CUUAAAACCCCGCCGGACGUAACACUCUUGACAAAAAUAGACACAAUCACUAACAAUACAAUUAAUAAUUGAUCGUAUACGACCACUUUCCGAAAACGCGCUAUCAGCGCUAGAAAAUACAUGCACCCUUCCUGAUUAUCGACUUAAAAAAUCCCUACAAAACUAUAUAUCAUAAAAGUCACGUGGGUCGCAAGUGGGGCGCCACGCACCUCCUUGCUCGCGCCACGCGCCAGCUCGUGUCAAACCAUGUGUAGUGUACAUGUGAGUGUAUUGAUGGGUCACGUGGAUCGCCAGUGGCUCGCGCCACGCGCCAGCUUCCACUAAGAGUAUGUUCCAUUUUAUGCAUGAUGCGCAUAAUGCAUUUUGACAAACAACAAGGAUAAACGAUGCACCAUACGUAUUAUGCGUAUUAUGAAACGGAACGCAUUCUAAGUGAUGUGCAGUGAGGUUAUAUUAUGAUGACAGUUUCGUGAAGAUCGUGCCAUAAAAUGACAGAUAGGGUAAGUGUAUUAUUGUACCUUUAUAUUUAAAGGAAUUAUAAAAGAAUUUGCAUAAAUAAAAAUAGAACAUUUUGUUUUGUAUUAUAUACAUAAAUAGUUAAACUAAAUUUUUUAAAAUUUAUUCUUUCUAUUUAAUUGUGCUUAUUCUUUUUAUAAUUUCUUUAAAUACAAAGGUACACAAAUAGGUACAGGGAUACUAAUAGGGACACUCCUAUUGCCCUCCUAUUCUGCUCUAGACGAGGCAGAAGAAGUCAGGUCCAGAGAUAAAAUAAAGAAGCAGUGAAACGAGAAGAGCCUGAAGGUAUAAUAAAGUGUCUAAGAUGCAAGAAAAUUUUAUGUGUACGAAUUUUGUUAUAUGUUAUAUUCUUAUACUCUAUGAUUGCAGGAGAAAAGCAUUGAAUAUAAUGAAAAAGAAAAAAAAUGACCACAGGCCAAAAAAAAAGAUUAUUAUACAUGAUAUUAAUUCCAUAUCCAGUGACAGGAUUUAUGUCACUUAGAAUUUCUUCCCCGAUGCAUCCUAGCAGAAGCGAUUUUGUACGAGGAGUAGCAUUUUAUACGAGGAGUAGCAAAUAGCCUAUACAAUUUGCGAACAUCUUCAAGAAUGGAUGUCGGUUCUGAUAAUGGAAUACUAAGUGAAGACCACAUGAAGCUGUCGGCAUUUUACUUUUAAUAGACAAUAGAGAAAGAUUAUUUAAAUUUAAAAGGGACAAGAUAAUGUUACGUCCGGCAGACUCCACGAUUUCUCUUCUUCGAAGAAACAAAUAAGAUUACAAAAGAAAUUCCAUUUCAACGGUCUCCGAUAAUUUUUUAUGCGUCUAAGAUUAGUCUAUUAAAAACGUGAUGACAAACAUGGAUGGAUGAAACGACCAAGUUGAUAAUUUCAACUUCUUUUGAAUAUUAAAUCAACAAUAAAUUUUGAAGGUAGAAAUACAAAAACAAACUCGGGUUCAAAGCAAGGUUUCACGUUUGUUCACAAAAAAUGAGUAAUAAAGAAUCCAAACAUUAGCAAAAAAUAAAUAACCGUUUCCUCCAUCUGCAAACAAUACUGUCACACGUCUAGCACGAUAAAGAGAAACUUUCGACAGAUUAUUCAACGUAUGAUUGGGCAAAGAGGAAAAACUAUUUUUCCAAUAAGAAAACUUAGAAUUCACCCACCACAAAAUCCUGAAAGAGUCCUACUAAUUAGAAUAUUUGAACCUACAUCUAGAUCCUUCUCUUGUAAGAUUGGUAUAUAUAAUACCAAAUCUUGAAGAAAACAAAUCAGUUAGUUGGUCAAUGAGUAAGAGAGUUAGUUAAUAGUCAGUUGUCAGUUGAGUUAGUAGCGAGUUAGUUAGUAAUCGGUAACGAAAAAAGUAGUUAAAA
This is a long non-coding RNA of Monomorium pharaonis (pharaoh ant), 1862 nucleotides long. RefSeq lists it as uncharacterized. The record is from RefSeq and is a predicted model, not a curated record. Lineage: Eukaryota; Metazoa; Arthropoda; Insecta; Hymenoptera; Formicidae. The transcript has 3 exons.